AUUGAACGCUGGCGGCAUGCCUUACACAUGCAAGUCGAACGGCAGCACGGGUGCUUGCACCUGGUGGCGAGUGGCGAACGGGUGAGUAAUACAUCGGAACGUACCUUAUCGUGGGGGAUAACGCAGCGAAAGUUGCGCUAAUACCGCAUACGCCCUGAGGGGGAAAGCGGGGGACCGUAAGGCCUCGCGCGAUUAGAGCGGCCGAUGUCUGAUUAGCUUGUUGGUGAGGUAAAAGCUCACCAAGGCGAUGAUCAGUAGCUGGUCUGAGAGGACGAUCAGCAACACUGGGACUUAGACACGGCCCAGACUCCUACGGGAGGCAGCAGUGGGGAAUUUUGGACAAUGGGGGCAACCCUGAUCCAGCAAUGCCGCGUGAGUGAAGAAGGCCUUCGGGUUGUAAAGCUCUUUUGUCAGGGAAGAAACAGCAGCUCUAACACAGUCUGCGAAUGACGGUACCUGAAGAAUAAGCACCGGCUAACUACGUGCCAGCCGCCGCGGUAA
Molecule: ribosomal RNA, 501 nt
Filed under: uncultured bacterium
Lineage: Bacteria
Description: partial 16S ribosomal RNA
Rfam family: Bacterial small subunit ribosomal RNA
Source: RNAcentral